This 507-nucleotide small RNA is filed under the name Pongo abelii (Sumatran orangutan). RNAcentral describes it as "retained intron". Lineage: Eukaryota; Metazoa; Chordata; Mammalia; Primates; Hominidae. The record is from RNAcentral.
GCAUCUCUGGUGCAUGGUGGAGGGGCACUGCAACCCAGCGAAACUUUGAAAAAGCAGAUCUCAGAAGAUAGAAAGCAGCAACUGAUGCUUCAGAAAAUGGAACUGGAAAUUGAAAAGGAGCGCCUUCAGCAUCUGCUUGCCCAGCAGGAGACAAAGCUUCUUCUAAAACAGCAGCAGCUUCACCAGUCUCAACUGGAUUACAAUUGGUUAAGAGCUCAGGCUCUGUUUAAGUCGAGAGAACUGGUUGCUGAAAAAGAGCUUACUAAACCCCAAGAACUCAAACUGGAUAUGAAUGGCAGUGACUCUGGACCAAGGUAAACCUGAAGUCUCAGUGAAAACAAGAAUAUUAAGGGCAUAAAUAUUUAGGAUAUGUUUGGUAUACUUUUAUAGCUCUAUGUUGAUUAAUACAGUUUUGUGACCAUAUGAAUAAGUACAUUCCUGUUAUAAAAUUUUGAAAAAUAUAGAAAAAUAUGAAAAACAAAAUAAAAAUCAUUCAUAAUCCUACUA